This 329-nucleotide ribosomal RNA is filed under the name uncultured Glomeromycotina. Its description in RNAcentral is "LSU rRNA". The record is from RNAcentral. Lineage: Eukaryota; Fungi; Glomeromycota.
CAGUCGUACCAGCGGGAAAUCAACCUUUCGAGUGGGGGUUUUGGAGUUUAAGAGUGUUAAAACCUUGAGAUUUCAAAAUAUUCGCUCUUUUGGUGUACUUUCUCGUGGGUAGGUUAACAUCGAUUUUGAUCAUCAUAAAAAGAUUGGAGGAAUGUAGCUUCGAUCUUGUAUUGAAGUGUUAUAGCCUUUGGUAAAUGUGAUGAUUAGGAUCGAGGAUUGCAACGAAUACCCUUUUGGGCUAUCCGCCUGAUCUCUGAUACGUGGCCUUGGUAUUGAAAGCGUGCUUAUGGUAUUAAGGUAUUACGGUCAAAAGGUUAGAACGGAUUACA